GGCACAAACCUGUAGCAGAAUAGUUGGCUAGGGUCAGCUGACCGUACUAAUCUUCUCUACUUCAAGUUUGUGCUC
This 75-nucleotide microRNA precursor is filed under the name Haemonchus placei. Its description in RNAcentral is "mir-5928 microRNA precursor family". It matches the Rfam family "mir-5928 microRNA precursor family". Lineage: Eukaryota; Metazoa; Nematoda; Chromadorea; Rhabditida; Trichostrongylidae. The record is from Rfam by way of RNAcentral.